RNAcentral lists this long non-coding RNA (407 nucleotides) under Cricetulus griseus (Chinese hamster). RNAcentral describes it as "lncRNA (ENSCGRG00015042219.1)". Lineage: Eukaryota; Metazoa; Chordata; Mammalia; Rodentia; Cricetidae. The record is from RNAcentral.
GACUCUUCUGUUGCUUCCACCUCUACCUCUGGAGUGCUAGGACUACAGGUGUUGGCCACCAAACCUGUUUUAUAUGGUGCUGGGAUGGGACCCAGGGCUCAUGGGAUGGGACCUAUGCAUGCUAGGCAAGCACUCACUCCUCCAAUGAAGCAAACCCCAACCUCUGCGUUUCCAUUUCUACUGUACCUCAGAAAAAUAAGUGGUCAACACAAUACACAGAGGAACAAGGUGAAGAAGCAGGUUCGGGGCCCUCGGAGACUCCUGUCUAGAGAGGAGACUUGCUGGACAGCAUCUCUCUCUGGCCUGGAACUGGUUAAGUAGGCUCAGGUAGGGGCCAUGGAGCUCCAGGGAUCCACCUGUCUGCUUCCCCAGUUAGGAUUACAAGUUAAGUUCUACCACACCCUGGU